AACGCACGAGACCUGCGGACCUGCGGAGGGAUCAUUAAUGAGAAACUGCCCCUCGCGGGUAGAUCUCCCACCCUUUGUAAACUUACCUUUGUUGCUUUGGCAGGCCCGUCCCCGGACCGCCGGCUUCGGCUGGCCAGUGCCUGCCAGAGGAUUCUAAAACUCUGUCUGUCAGUGUUGUCUGAGUCUAUAUACAAUCGUUAAAACUUUUAACAACGGAUCUCUAGAUCGGAAGAGCACACG
RNAcentral lists this unclassified non-coding RNA (240 nucleotides) under soil metagenome. RNAcentral describes it as "partial contains 5.8S ribosomal RNA, internal transcribed spacer 2, and large subunit ribosomal RNA". The record is from RNAcentral.